GAUGAACGCUAGCGGCAGGCCUAAUACAUGCAAGCCGAACGGCAAGUUUGAUAGCAAUAUUGGACCUAGAGUGGCGCAAGGGUGCGUAACACGUAUGCAACCUGCCCGCGACAGGAGGAUAGCUCCCCGAAAGGGGAAUUAACCCUCCAUAACACCAUGAGAAGGCUUCUGAUUAUGGUUAAACCGCAAGGGGUCGCGGAUGGGCAUGCGGUUGAUUAGCUAGUUGGCGGGGUAUAGGCUCACCAAGGCGGUGAUCAAUAGGGGUUCUGAGAGGGAGGUCCGCCGAGCGUGCACUGAGAUACGGGGCAGGCUCCAACGGGAGGAAGCAGUAGGGAGGCAUGGACGAUGGUUGCAAGACUGAUCCAGCCAUGCCGAGUGCAGGAAGAAGGGCUUCGGAGUCGUGAACUGCUGUUUCAUGUGGAUAAAAUACGCGUGGGCGGGGAAUUGAAGGUAACGGGGGAAUAAGCCACGGCUAACUACGUG
RNAcentral lists this ribosomal RNA (483 nucleotides) under uncultured bacterium. RNAcentral's name for it is "partial 16S ribosomal RNA". It matches the Rfam family "Bacterial small subunit ribosomal RNA", at positions 28 to 507 of the family's 1533-position model. The record is from RNAcentral.